CAGAGGGUCCCACAGCGCCGCAACCCAACUUAGGGUUAUUCCAUCAUGUGAGCCCUCUUUCCUGCGAAGUGCUUCUGGCACGUGGGUUGACUUUCUGGGUGCCAACUCAUGCGCCCCAAUCACUAGUUACUUGCCCUGGGGGUAGAUCUACCUUUCCCUCGUACCAUGCACGUGGUUCUCCCCUGGUUAUGGCCCUCUCAU
Molecule: long non-coding RNA, 201 nt
Filed under: Phaseolus vulgaris (common bean)
Lineage: Eukaryota; Viridiplantae; Streptophyta; Magnoliopsida; Fabales; Fabaceae
Description: long non-coding RNA (PVUL_LNC000177)
Source: RNAcentral